Molecule: ribosomal RNA, 405 nt
Filed under: uncultured bacterium
Lineage: Bacteria
Description: partial 16S ribosomal RNA
Rfam family: Bacterial small subunit ribosomal RNA
Source: RNAcentral
AUUGAACGCUAGCGGCAUGCUUUACACAUGCAAGUCGAACGAGUGGCGGACGGGUGAGUAAUAUAUCGGAACGUGCCCAGUAGCGGGGGAUAACUACUCGAAAGUGUCGCUAAUCCCGCAUACUAUUGGAUGCGCCCAUAUCGGGUUAGCUAGUUUGUGGGGUAAAGGCCCACCAAGGCAACGAUCCGUAGCUGGUUUGAGAGGACGACCAGCCACACUGGGACUGAGACACGGCCCAGACUCCUACGGGAGGCAGCAGUGGGGAAUUUUGGACAAUGGGGGAAACCCUGAUCCAGCCAUCCCGCGUGUAUGAGAAGGCCUUCGGGUUGUAAAGUACUUUUGGCAGAGAAGCGGUAUCUGCAGAAUAAGCACCGGCUAACUACGUGCCAGCAGCCGCGGUAAUUC